ACUUUUUUUUUAUUCUUUUUUAUGUUUUUUUUUGUAAAAUGUUUUGAUUUUUUUGUAUUUUUUUGUAAUAUUUAAAAUUUGUUUUUUGAACUGGAUUAGUACCCAGGUAAUCAAAGUUUAUUAAUUCGGGAGUAAAGUUUUGUUUAAACCGAAAAAAUAUUGACUGACUUUAGAUUUUUCUUUGGAAUAUGUGUUUUUGGAGAGCCCUCUUUUUUGGUGAAUUUUAUUGGCACAUGUAUGAUUGGUUAGUUUUUAUGUUAUUUGUGUUGCUUUUUUGUUUUUUUGCAUUUAAAACAGAUAUAUAUUUGGCUUAUAAAUUUAUUUUUCAUGUAUUACUAUUAUUAAUUUUUUUUGGAUUAUUUUUUAUUUUAUUUUUGAAAUUGGAAAAGAAAGUAAUUUUU
Molecule: ribosomal RNA, 401 nt
Filed under: Dirofilaria repens
Lineage: Eukaryota; Metazoa; Nematoda; Chromadorea; Rhabditida; Onchocercidae
Description: partial 12S ribosomal RNA
Source: RNAcentral